GGGACGGGUGAGUAAUGUCUGGGAAACUGCCUGAUGGAGGGGGGUAACUACUGGAAACGGUAGCUAAUACCGCAUAACGCCGCAAGACCAAAGAGGGGGACCUUCGGGCCUCUUGCCAUCGGAUGUGCCCAGAUGGGAUUAGCUAGUAGGUGGGGUAACGGCUCACCUAGGCGACGAUCCCUAGCUGGUCUGAGAGGAUGACCAGCCACACUGGAACUGAGACACGGUCCAG
Molecule: ribosomal RNA, 232 nt
Filed under: uncultured bacterium
Lineage: Bacteria
Description: partial 16S ribosomal RNA
Rfam family: Bacterial small subunit ribosomal RNA
Source: RNAcentral